CCUGGCGGCAGUAGCGCGGUGGUCCCACCUGACCCCAUGCCGAACUCAGAAGUGAAACGCCGUAGCGCCGAUGGUAGUGUGGGGUCUCCCCAUGUGAGAGUAGGGAACCGCCAGGU
Molecule: ribosomal RNA, 116 nt
Filed under: Morganella morganii
Lineage: Bacteria; Pseudomonadati; Pseudomonadota; Gammaproteobacteria; Enterobacterales; Morganellaceae
Source: RNAcentral